Molecule: unclassified non-coding RNA, 242 nt
Filed under: Glomeraceae sp.
Lineage: Eukaryota; Fungi; Glomeromycota; Glomeromycetes; Glomerales; Glomeraceae
Description: partial contains 5.8S ribosomal RNA and internal transcribed spacer 2
Rfam family: 5.8S ribosomal RNA (bases 1-71)
Source: RNAcentral
GUGAAUCAUCAAAUCUUUGAACGCAAAUUGCGCUUCCUGGCAUCCCGGGAAGUAUGCCUGUUUGAGGGUCAGUAUUAAUAAAAAAUCGGUUUAGUUACAAAUUGUGACGUUUCCGGAGUUUGGGCUAUCUUAACAUUUUUGGUUAAGAGGCUUAAAAUUGACCUUUUUUGCGCAUUUUUAAACGUACAUAAAUUUUUUUAAUUCGUUAUUUCUAAUUCCCAAAUUCUAUUUAAUUCCAACAC